RNAcentral lists this transfer RNA (77 nucleotides) under Micromonosporaceae bacterium. RNAcentral's name for it is "tRNA-His". It matches the Rfam family "tRNA". From Rfam's summary of the family: Transfer RNA (tRNA) molecules are approximately 80 nucleotides in length. Their secondary structure includes four short double-helical elements and three loops (D, anti-codon, and T loops). Further hydrogen bonds mediate the characteristic L-shaped molecular structure. tRNAs have two regions of fundamental functional importance: the anti-codon, which is responsible for specific mRNA codon recognition, and the 3' end, to which the tRNAs corresponding amino acid is attached (by aminoacyl-tRNA synthetases). tRNAs cope with the degeneracy of the genetic code in two manners: having more than one tRNA (with a specific anti-codon) for a particular amino acid; and 'wobble' base-pairing, i.e. permitting non-standard base-pairing at the 3rd anti-codon position. Lineage: Bacteria; Bacillati; Actinomycetota; Actinomycetes; Micromonosporales; Micromonosporaceae. The record is from RNAcentral.
GUGAUCGUGGUGUACCGGUUGUGCACGCCGGAUUGUGGCUCCGGAGGGCGUGGGUUCAACUCCCCGCGAUCGCCCCA